UUUUGUCUAUCUCGAUAGGACAUGGGUAAGUUUCAUACUUUAUAAUACAAAAAGACACAUAAAUACUGCAAAUAUAAGUACAUACCCUUAUUAUGAAGACUACAGAACAUAUACAAAGAUUCUGAACAUAUAUUAUACACGCAUAUUGCAUUUGAGUAUGUGUAUUAAAUAUGCUUCUAUAUAUGUUAUUUACCUAAAUACGAACAUUCACGAAGGUGUUCAUAUGUGUCUUAGGAUGAUGCGGUAAUAGAAGUGUGUUGGGGAAAAUCACGGAACAUGGUAGUUGGAGGCACAUGGCCAGUUUCAUCACUCAAGUUCUCUUCUUCUUCUCCUAAUGCUUCAUCUUCUUCGUCCUCAUCCACAUCCCACAGAAACCUUGCGUAUGAAGCUUGCACAUAACUGCACCAUUCCAUCAUCACAAUAUUGUUAUCAUCAUGAAGUCUUUUUCCUUAAUUUUCAAAAUUGGUUCAAUUAUAGAAAGGUACUUUGCAAAAUUACCAAUCUUCCGG
RNAcentral lists this long non-coding RNA (509 nucleotides) under Arabidopsis thaliana (thale cress). RNAcentral's name for it is "long non-coding RNA (ATHA_LNC000664)". The record is from RNAcentral. Lineage: Eukaryota; Viridiplantae; Streptophyta; Magnoliopsida; Brassicales; Brassicaceae.